This 22557-nucleotide long non-coding RNA is filed under the name Brassica napus (rape). RNAcentral's name for it is "long non-coding RNA (BNAP_LNC009017)". Lineage: Eukaryota; Viridiplantae; Streptophyta; Magnoliopsida; Brassicales; Brassicaceae. The record is from RNAcentral.
AGAUUUUAACUAAGAAAAACUAAGAACUGUCUCUUAAAUAAGAGAUAUAAGAGUCGUCUCUUAGCCGAAAAGUGUAAAAAAAAAAAAUAGUGUCAAAUCAUGAGAUAAGAACCCCAGUUAAGAGACCAGGGUUAAUCAUGCUCUUAUGUCAUUGUUCUUUAUAUAUAUAAUAAUUAAAUAAUUAAAUAAAUAAAAAAACUAAAAAUAUAAAAAUAACUUUUUAAAUUUUUUUCGAAUUAUACUAUUUUGAAAUUCAAACUCUAAACCCUAAAACUCAACUCUAAACCCUAAAACAUCAAUCAUAAACCCUUUUCUUUUGAAAUAUGAACCCUAAACCCUAAACCAUCAAUCCUAAAACCUACUUUUUUUUUGAAAACCAAACCGUAAACCCUGAAACAUCAACUCUAAACCUUAAACCCAGAAACAUCAACUCUAAACCCUAAACCCUAAACCUUCAACUCUAAACCCUAAACCAUAAACAUUAAACCCUAAACUAUCAACACUAAACCCUAAACCCUAAAAAGUAAACUCUAAACCCUAAACCCUAAAAAAUUAACCAUAAACCCUAAAACAUCAACUCUAAACCCUAAACCCUAAACCCUAAAACCCUAGAGUUGAUGUUUUAAGGUUUAGAUUUGAAGGUUUAGGGUUUUUGGGUUUACUUUUAGGGUUAAGAGUUGAUGUUUUAAGGUUUAGAUUUGAAUGUUUAAGGUUUUAGGGUUUGAAUUUCAGAAAAACAUAGUGUUUAGGGUUUACGUUUAGAGUUGAUGUUUUAGGGUUUAGAGUUAGAGUUUAUGUUUCGGGGUUUAGGGUUUAGAGUUGAUGUUUUAGGGUUUAGAUUUGAAGGUUUAGGAUUUAGGGUUUAGGGUUACAGUUGAUGUUUCGGGGUUUAGGGUUUAGAGUUGAUGUUUUAAGGUUUAGAGUUUAGAGUUGAUGAUUUAGGGUUUAGAGUUGAUGUUUUAAGUUUAAAUUAGUUAACGAUAAGUUUUUUUUGUCAUAGUUAAUCAAAGGGUUAUAAAUGUCUUUUACUCUUCGUUAAAGAUAAUGAUAAAAGUGGUUAGUGUAAACAUAUGAAGUGGUACUUUGAAAAUACUAUUUUUGGCAAUUUUCCUUUAAAUCUUAAAUUUUUAAAUUUUUUCAUCUAUUUUUAAAAUGUAUUAAAAUAUAUAUUCUUCGGAUAACAACACAAAAUAUAUAAGAAUUAUCCUUUUUUUAAAAUACAUUAAUUUUUUUUGUCUCGUUAAUUAUGUUAUUACAAAUUAUGAGAAACAUUACAUAGACGAUAUUACAGCCGAAAAUUCUACCUGUUUUAUGAAGAUUCACGCCUGACUGCAUCAUUCUGAGUAGCCCUAUAAGAUCCAUUCCUGACGGUACUCCUUGCACCAUGCUGAAGAUCUCCUGUAAGCAUUUUCUCUAAUUUUUUGCAUAAUUCACAUUCUCUGGGAAUUGAAACCUAGACUCCUUCCUGUAGAAAUUGCGUUGUCUGGGGUUCGUACCCCAUACUUGGGUGUAGAAGACUUUAAACUUUGACCACCAUGUCUCAGUGCUUCCACAAAUACAUUAAUGUUUAGAGGUAACAAUGACUUUAACCGCUCUAACAAUUAUUUUAACCACUCUAAUUUUUAAUGUGAAAGCUCGAAUGCGGAAAAUUACUUCAUAAAAUAAUAGUUUAAAUAAUUAUAUAGAUAGACAUUGACAUAUUGUACAUGACGUGAGAUUACUGGAGAUAAAUGUGUAAACGUUCUUACAUAUAUAUUGAAACUUUCACAAGUUUCUAACACACUCGUACGUGUGUACAAUUUGUAAAUAUUAUUCAAUUUAGUUAGAAGGUCAAUUUUGUGGGAAACUUUCACACCUUUUAGGAGACGACAUCCGCAAGUUUCUAUGAAAUUUUAGUUAUUUCUUUUCAUAUAAUUUUAGGUGAUUGCGAUGAGAGGGAGGAUGGAAUAUGAGAAUGUGGUUGAGCUCAUGGAGCAAGGAGUCGAGCAAGUGAACUUCGUUGGAUGUUUAACUAAUUUGUUUAAGGACAUUGUCAUGGCUAUUGAAGAGAACGAUGAGAUCUUGAGAGGUCUAUGCGGAGAAGACGGUGUUGUUUAUGCUAUAUGUGAGUUGCAAGAGGAAUGUGAUUCUAGAGGUUCGUUGAUCUUGAAGAAGUACAUGGAGUUUAGGAAGCUAGCUAGGUUGGCUUCUGAUAUCAACAACUCUCCAAAUUUGAAUCUGCUUGCUGGUGGUGCUUCUGAAAGACCAGACCCGAGAGAAGUAGAGCUCUACGUGGAGGAGAUACUGUCUCUGAUGCAGUUAGGUGAGGAUUAUACAGAGUUCAUGGUGUCAAAGAUCAAGUCUUUGACGUCAGUUGAUGCUGAGUUGUUACCAAGAGCUACGAAAGCGUUUAGAAAUGGUAGCUUUAGCAAAGUGAUUCAGGACGUGACGGGAUUCUAUGUGAUACUAGAAGGGUUCUUUAUGGUUGAGAAUGUGAGGAAAGCCAUAAGGAUUGAUGAGCAUGUACCGGACAGCCUUACCACAUCAAUGGUGGACGAUGUGUUCUACGUGUUGCAGAGCUGUCUGAGGAGAGCCAUUUCGACUUCGAACAUUAGCUCUGUGAUUGCUGUGUUGAGCAAUGCUGGUAGCUUGUUGGCUAAUGAUUACCAUGAAACUUUGCAGCAGAAGAUUAGAGAGCCUAACCUUGGUGCUAGGUUGUUCUUAGGUGGUAUUGGUUGCAUCAAGACGAUGGUCGACUUAAAACCAAAUCUCGCUUACUAACUAACAUUAUAGAAGAGAGCAUCUUCAAGAUCACGAGUUCGAAUGCCAUAAAAAUAGCUACUUUUAAAUGCUUUCUUAUCUAAAACAUGAUGAGCUAAAAGCUCAUAGCUUCUUAAUUCCCUAAAAAAAGUUCUAACACAUUGCAUUACCAAUAAAUCAUCUUAAAUUUUUUUGUUAGUUGUACAAAUAAUUUUGUUCCUUUUAGUAAUUUGAAAACGUACUUGAAUUUUAUUCAUUUUAACUGAGCUGAUUAUAAACCUUCUCAAAAUUCAUUAUUUAUGGAUUUGGAAGUUCAUAAACAGGUAUAUAUAGUGGGUUUUAGCUCCAGAUAUACACAAAACAAGCAUCUAUACUCAAACUAUAUCAACAUUCAUUAUAUAGAUUAGGCGACAGAAAAACAUUCCUUAUAGAGUAUUAAAUUUUUUGAUAAAAAAAAGAUAAGACGAGAAACUUAUUUGGUUACAAGUCCCAGCAAUCAAUAAAAAGGAAUAAUAGAUGAUGAAAUUUCAAAUAUAUGGAAAAUAUAAUUAUAUUUUUUAUUUACAUGAAACUGGUUAAUGGAUGGUAUUCAAAUAAAAAUCAGAUUUCCGUUGUAUCUUAAACCUUGGCAUAAAUAUAAAUUUCAAUCAUUUCAGAAGACUCGACUAAAAAAAAACUUUCUCGGUCAAUCUCUUUGACCCUCAUUCUUAGAGAUAAAAUAGAUGAAUACAUUGGAGAUAGUCUAAGACAUGACCGACGUAAAUGAUCGACGUUGAAAUUUCAGCUUUUCUGAUUCUUACUAUUCUAAUGUUUCAAUAUAAUUUGAAUAUUCCUUUUGCUUUAUAAUAUAAUGGUUUGAAAGUCUUUUUUGUUUCACUAUAUAAAUUGUUUUUAUAUUUCAAUGUAACUUUAUAAUUAUUGGAUAUUGUGUAGCCAAUUAAAUUAUGUAAAUUACUGUGAAAUUGAUUAAAUUAAUAUAUUAAAUGACAGUUUUCUAAAGUAAUAACUUUUAAAUAUUACAUAUUCUAAUUAACUGAUUACAUUUUGAAACAAAUGGAGUAAUCUAUAAACUAACUUUAUAUAGAUAUGAGGACAAAAUUGUAAAAUGAUAUCACUUUGAAUUUUUCUCAUUCUGUGCAUUCCUAAUUGGAAGGAGAUAAUCAACAUUUAAUAUAAUGUUACCCUCAGUAUAUUAGAAAUGGUCGAACCGUAAACCAAUUAAGGAUGAUGUAAGGAAGACGUAAAGAUGUAUUUCCAGUUAUCACAAAUAUAGAAUCAAUUGACAACAACUUAAUUAUGUUCAUACUUUCUAAUAUUAUAAUAUCUCACCAUAUUAGUGGCUAAAUAAGUUUUCUCUAGCACAAAUACUCACUAUAUUCUUGGAGUUUAAGUUUUUCUAUCUUAUGAUAUUAGUAGUUUGCUCCAAAAAAAAGAAACGGUCGAACUGUACAUUGUAAUUGGAGAAAGAAAACAAACACACAUAAAAAUGAGACAUCAUAUUUGGAUAUAUUUAAAUAAAUAAUUUUAAAUAUAUUAUAUUCUUGAUAAUUUUAAAAUUACUUAAAAAGAAAAUAAAUUAUUAAAAAAUUAAUAUACAAAUAAAACUAAAUCAAUAUUUUGUAACGUCAAAAUAAUAAAUGAAUAAAAACUAUAUUAUGCUAAUAAAAUAGAUUUUAGAUCUUAAAGACUUUUAAUUUAUGUAAUAUUAAAAAAUUCAAAAUUUGUUUAUUACAAGUAAUAUUUUACCAUUAGAUAUAUUAAAAUAAUAUUCUAGAUCGAUAUUUAAUUAUCAGUUUUCAACUAUUACACGUAAAAAAUAUUAUUAAGUACGUUUUUUUUUUGAAAAGGGGGUUUUAUAUUUUAAGUAGGUUAUUGGAAUACUUUUUCUUUUCUUGAAUUUAUUCGAGAUGAGAUUCCGAUCUUUAAACUAAGAUAAUUUAUGUUCUACACAUAACUAUAUUUUUUACAUAAUUCUAAAAUCGCGGACUUGGUUCUUAAUAUUUUAUUAGUUAAUUGUGUUAUAUAUAAUAGAAAUACUUAUUUUAAACUAAAAAUAUAAAAAAAAUCAAAUUUAAAAUUAGUUAUAUAUAAUUUAUUAUACAAAAAUUCAUAUACAAAUAAAAAUGAUAAAUGUAACAAAUUUAAAUAUAUUAUCUGCGCGUAGCGCGGAGAAAUGAUCUAGUUAUAGUAAUAGGGGUUAAUCCUGCAUCAAUCUUAAAAUAUAAAUAUUUGCCUACCUAUUCUAAAACCUGGCAAGUUGGUUACUGAGAAUAUCACAAUAACAUAUAAGAAUGGUUCAAAGGGAACAAAUAUUAAUUAUUUCUUUUAGAAAAACUUUUUGUUAAGACUUGCACGUCAUACCUUUGCUGUUUACAUUAUUUUAUUACACAUUAAAUUGAACUAGCUAGCCCAAACGAAACUCAGUCUCUCGCUUCUUUUUUUCGAGAAAAAAAACACUUUUAACCACUGCACCAGGUCUCUAGCUUCUUAAUCUGUCUUCUCUUCAAUCUAUCUUUCUAUCUCACCCUGAUCAGCCAUGGGGGAAGAACCACUGCUUCAGAAACUCAGGAUUCAAGAAGACAUCGAAUCAGCCAAACACAAACUUGUUAACGACGACGUUGACGACGGUGAUGGUCCAGUCACUUUCAUUUUACUCUUCACAACCUUCACCGCUCUCUGCGGCACCUUCUCUUAUGGCACUGCCGUAAUUUUCUUCAUCUUCAUCUAUUUUUUUUUUUUUUUUGUGUGGUGGUUUUUCUGUUUCAUGUUAGAUUAAAUAUAGCUAGAAUGCUCAAUAAAGCUGGAAAACAAAAACUAAAAUCAACGUAAAUUUGAAAUGAAUAAUUUGUUCUUUAUAAAAAAAAUACUUUUUUUUAUUUUCAUACAGCAAAAGUAAAAUAAAAUUAGCAACAUAAACAAUGCUUUCUUCUUCUUUAUUAGACAAAAAAAAGCUUUCUUUCAUUCUUUUUUACUGAGCACGAAAGUUGGUUAAGAUUUAUGAGUAGGUCAUAUAUCAAAUCGUUAAUUAUUAGUUUUUGGAAGAUCAUUGUAGUCAUAUCGAACAACAGAAAUGCUUUUCUGUUUUUAUUUCUCUUGGAAUGUCCAAAUCAGGAGAAUGAUCUAUCAGGCUGUCACGAAAAGCGACAUAUACUUAUGAUAAAUAUAUAUCCACAUGAUUUUCUGGUCUUAUUUUAUUUUGGGAAGGCCGGCUUUACGUCACCAGCUCAAUCUGGGAUGAUGGCAGGACUAAACCUUUCUUUGGCUGAGGUCAGUGUUGAAUUGUUGAUUUUAUUUCCUGCAUACUAAUAUGAUUUUCAGUCCUCUUAAUAAUAAUUCUUUGUUAUCUAAUACAGAAGAUAAUUUAUGAGUAAAGGGACAUAUGUCAAAAAUGUAAUAACUAUUACAUAAUCGGAAUAUUAGUCAAACAUUCAAUAAGAAAAUACGAAUGCUUCUACCUUAACUUUUACACACCGUCUAACUUAACCACUAUACUACUGGGUUCAUCCGUUUGUAUUAAUUAGAGUUUCUACUUAAAAGUACAUGUCAAUGUCAUAGUAAUAUAGUUUUGCUCAGUUAUCAUUUAAAAAAAACGAAUAUAGCUGGUAAUAUACAAAUAAAAUUGUGUUAUCUUAUAGAAGAAAAAGGCAACUAAGCUAUUGUUCACUACAUGAAUGUAGUUCUCUUUCUUUGGAUCCAUAUUAACAAUUGGUGGACUUGUGGGAGCCGCGAUGUCCGGAAAACUCGCUGAUCUCCUUGGUCGGAGAGGCGUAAGUUUUUAAUCCAUUAUUAAAUUUUAUUUUAUCAUAAUGACUAAACUUACAAUUCAAUUACGUCAUUCUUUAUAAAUUCCAAUAAAAAUAAAUAGCGUCUUGAUAUAUGAGUACGCAGGCUUUAUGGGUUUCAAACUCGUUUUGCAUGACCGGCUGGCUUAUGAUCGCCUACUCUCAGGUUUCUAAAGAUCAUUCAACGUUCCUUUUAAGUUUUUUAGUACUAUGUUUUUAUAUGGUAUUAGUUUAACUGGUUCAAUGUUUUAAUUUUUACCAAUAUAACUUUGGUUUAUUACAACACCCCCAAUAUUGUACACAAAAAUAAUUCAGAUAAAAUUAGAAGAGUUAAUAUUGAUUGUUAACUGUUUCUAAUAAUAUGCUACAUACUAUUUAAGGCGGCUUGGUCCCUUGAUAUCGGAAGACUUUUUCUCGGCGUUGCAGCUGGUUUAUCUUGUUACGUGGUACGUAUAAUUUCAUUAGACUAUGACUAGGGUUAGUGACUUUCAGUCCAAGCAACAAAUAAGUUAGUUAUUAACUGCAAAUCCAAUCCCAAUGUACAGGUACCAGUCUACAUUGUAGAAAUCUCACCCAAACAAAUCAGAGGCGCGUUUACUGCGGUUAAUGCGGUAGUUUAUAUACGGUCCAUUGUUACUUUUUGCUCAUUUUAAUUAAUUAUUUUUAAAAAAACUUAAAAAAGAGAUUCUUUGAUCGUUUUUCUUCUUCUGCAGCUUGUGAUGUCUUCUAGCGUCUCCAUUACAUUCCUCGUUGGAUCAGCCACUUCAUGGAAAACAUUAGCUCUUAUAAGUACUCCCUCUGUUUUUAAAAGAUGCAUAUUCUAGACUUUUCACAUAUAUUAAGAAAACUCAUUAAAUAUGCAUUGUUUUUUGUGAAUAACAAUUUUCCAUAACUUUAAGCCAAUAGAAAUUCAAUAAACACUAUUAAUUUUUUUGAAACUUACAAUUUUUCAUAAAAUCAUACAUUGAAAAAGUAAAAAAUGUAUCUUUUUAAAACAAAUUUUUUUUCCAGAACAUACAUCUUUUAGGAACGGAGGGAGUAACAUAUAAUCUUGGAAUUUGCCAACAAAAAAAAUUACAUAUACUUUAUUUAAUUUUAACUCUGUUUUCUUAUGAUUCCAAGUAACCAAGUUGAUACAAAUGAAUUUUUUCCCAAACAAAUCAGAGGCGCGUUUACUGCGGUUAAUGCGGUAGUUUAUAUACGGUCCAUUGUUACUUUUUGCUCAUUUUAAUUAAUUAUUUUUAAAAAAACUUAAAAAAGAGAUUCUUUGAUCGUUUUUCUUCUUCUGCAGCUUGUGAUGUCUUCUAGCGUCUCCAUUACAUUCCUCGUUGGAUCAGCCACUUCAUGGAAAACAUUAGCUCUUAUAAGUACUCCCUCUGUUUUUAAAAGAUGCAUAUUCUAGACUUUUCACAUAUAUUAAGAAAACUCAUUAAAUAUGCAUUGUUUUUUGUGAAUAACAAUUUUCCAUAACUUUAAGCCAAUAGAAAUUCAAUAAACACUAUUAAUUUUUUUGAAACUUACAAUUUUUCAUAAAAUCAUACAUUGAAAAAGUAAAAAAUGUAUCUUUUUAAAACAAAUUUUUUUUCCAGAACAUACAUCUUUUAGGAACGGAGGGAGUAACAUAUAAUCUUGGAAUUUGCCAACAAAAAAAAUUACAUAUACUUUAUUUAAUUUUAACUCUGUUUUCUUAUGAUUCCAAGUAACCAAGUUGAUACAAAUGAAUUUUUUUUUUUUUUUCGUUUGGAAUUGUGCAGGUACGGUUCCUUGUGUUUUAGAAUUCGUUGGUUUAUUCUUUAUACCGGAGUCUCCUAGGUGGCUGGUAAUGAAUUAGUCUUAUACCUAUUGAUUAAAUUUUAACAUAUACAUAUACCAUAUUAAGAAACAGUAUUACAAGUAAAUCAAAUAAUUUAAGAGCUUAUUUUGUGUGAUUUAUAGUCUAGAAAUGGUCGGGUAAAAGAAUCGGUAGCUGCACUCCAACGUCUGCGAGGAAACAACACUAAUAUCACGAAAGAGGCUGCAGAAAUCAAAGUAGAAACAAAAUGUUUAUGAAACUCAAUUAGUAAAACAUAUUUCCUGACUGAAGUAUUUGAUUCCCAUAGUGAUAAUACUUCAAGUAUAUUUUCAGAUAUACAUGGAAAAUCUUCAAGAAGAAUUCAAAGAAGAUUGCUUUUUCGAGCUCUUCAAACCACGAUACUCUCGUGUUAUUAGUGUAAGAACUCGACUAAAAAUCUAGAGUUUAUGAAUAGAACUGAAUUAUCUGUAUCUUUUAGGUGGGAAUUGGAUUGCUAGUACUGCAACAAGUCGGAGGCCUCAGUGGCUAUACAUUUUACAUGAGCUCGAUAUUUCACAAAUCAGGUAUAUUCAGAAUUUAAACGAAGCAUCUGUAUGAAGUAUAAUAUAAUUAUCAAAUAAUGAUGAUAACAUACAAGUUAAUUGUCUGACAGGGUUUCCUAACAACAUAGGAGUAUCAAUAACGAGCGCGGUGCAGUUGGUGACAAGCAUUUUAGGAUUAAUAAUCGUGGAUAAAUAUGGGAGACGGUCCCUUCUAACGGUUAUACCUUAUUUUCAGUUAUUGAAACUAUAUAAUAUAUGGUGGAUAAAUUAGAAGUUAACACAGUUUUUGUUUAUGUGAAUUUCUCAUAUGCAGGUUGCGACGGUCAUGAUGUGCAUGGGGUCAUUAAUCACAGGACUAUCGUUUUUAUUUCAGGUUUUUAUUAGAAAAAUAAUCACAUUAGUUAAAUUAUAAGGUAUACAUUGGUUAAUGUAAAUUAUGUUUCUAUUUUUUACCAAUAUAAUUGAAGACAUCAAACCUUAUUUACAGAGCUAUGCUUUACUCAACAACUACACCCCAAUUUCAGCACUCAUUGGAGUGUUGGUACGUCCUACAUCCAAAAAUUAUAAAAAUCCGUCUUAUCUCUUUUUGUCAACUACAUUAUUAUAUUUUUUCCUUAAUAUAUUUACCGGCUUUUAUAGUAUUUUGUCAACCCUAAUUGCAGGUUUUUUUCGUUUCCAUCACAGUCGGAAUAGGAGGUAUUCCAUGGGUCAUGGUCUCCGAGGUAAUGUUUUGUCUUUAAAUGAUCGUGACCAGACUAUAACAAUAUAGUUCUGUAUCAAGAUGCACAAGAACAUUAUUGUAUGUCGAAUUCAAAAGCAUAAAAACAUGCAGAUGCUCUUAUAAAAAAAAACAUAUAGACGAGACUGCGUUAGAUUGAAUAAAACGUAAAUACAUUUCGAAAACAAGGAAACUGAGUUAUGAAUUGUAUUGUAUGUACUACUUCCGCAUAGUAUAGUUAUAUAUGUCAAACCAUGGAGAUUUGUUUUUCCUUGAAUUUUUUUAAUAUAUUCGAGAAUAUUAAUUAGGUAAUAUAAAGUUCUUUUUUUUUCAUUUUUUUUUUCACAGGUAAUAAGUUCAUUUAAUUCAAACUAUCCAUAUGACCUAACCAGUCGUUUUUAACAUAUUUUAUUGUUUUAUUUUGUGGGAAAUUUAGAUGACACCGAUAAAUGUAAAGGGAUCGGCAGGAACGCUAUGCAAUCUAACGAGCUGGUCCUGCAAUUGGUUCGUAUCCUACACAUUCAACUUUCUCUUCCAAUGGAGUACUUCUGGUAAUUUAUAUCGUUUUUCUUUCCAAUAAAUAACUAAUUCUAAUUUCACUUCUUAGCAAAAAAAAAAAAUUCUAAUUUCACUUAUUAAUAAUUUUCUACUUUUAUUACAGGUGUGUUUUUCAUAUAUUCACUAAUCUCUGGUUUGGGCAUUCUAUUUGUGCUGAAAAUGGUACCAGAGACUCGAGGUCGUUCACUCGAAGAAAUCCAAGCUGAUAUUACCCGAUAAUUUAAUUUGUACAUAGUAAUAUUUCUUUUUAUUUGGUAUCCAGUUCAUAUAGCUUCAUAAAUGGUCUCAGUUAUAAGUCAAUUCAAUCCUCGUCUGGCCAUAAUUAAAUAUGCAUAAUUUGCACAUAUACCACUAAACAAUUGGUUGGUUCUUUUUUUUUUGUAAGGUCGAUUGAUCCAGUUUAUGUAUGGUUCUUUUUUUUUGUAAGGUUGAUUGGUGCAUUUUUAUGUAUGGUGACAUAUAUUACAAGAUUAAUCUAUACUAUUAAAGUAGUAUCCUAUUUUAAAAAUUUAGGAUUCUGCCCUUAGAUUUUCAUCAUAUUUACAAAAAUAAUAGAGAUAUCCUAUAUUAAUGGUAACAAAUAAAUUUUAUUUGCAAACCAAAACAAAACAAUAAAUAUUAAUUAACUAUUAGCAUUUAUUUUCCGUAAAACUUUAUCAUACCCAUAACAAUUCUUUUUUCGGCCAGAUUUUUUUGUUUUGAAUAAUUAGAUAUUUCUAAUCAUAUUAAUUAUAUUUAAUUUUGUGGGUAAUAAAUAAAUUAAACUAAUAUAAUUUAUUUAUGAGAUACAAAUGAAUUGAUGUGUUUUUUUUGUAGUGUAUUUUCCUAAUUCUGAGAAAUAACAAAAUCAUAAAAUUUCCUUUUUACAAUUUUUAUAGUUGAGUUUUAUAUGGUUGAAACAAAUAUAUGCAUCUCAGUAAAUAAGUAAAUAAAUAAUUACUAAAAGUUAAAAUCUGCAAAGAAAAAAAAGAUCUGCAAAGAAUAAUAUUAAAAUAUGUAAUGAGAAAUAUCUUUCAUUUUUUUCAACUUAUAUAGUAGUGUUUUUAUAUAAUUGGAACAAAUAUAUGCAUCUAAAUAAUUUAAUAAAAUAUUAUCAUUGAAAAUAAAAGGUGCAAAAAAAUAUUAAAUUAUGUAAUGAGAAAAUAUCUUUAGUAUAUAAAUAUACUACUUUAGAAUAAAUUAAAAUUAAUACAAUAUUUUUUCUAAAAAAUUAACUUCUUUAAAAAUAAUUUCAUAAAUGUAAAUAUAAUUUUUUAUAGCAUAUCUAAUAUCUAUAGUUAUAAAAUAAACAAUCAAUAAAUUUUUAAUGUAUAUAGUUAUCAUAUAUAAAAACACAUAAUCUUAUAAUUAAAAAAUUUAUAGAAUUUUAAAAGAAAAUUUAAAAGCGCGGAUCAAAAUCUAGUUAAAAGUUAAAUCGCAUUACAUUACUUAUUAGAUGUUGCUAUAUAAAGUCGAACCAAUACAAAGUUUGUAUAUUUAUGUAUUUAGGGUACCUUCUAUUUUUUUUUGUCAUCAUCAUUUUAAUAUCGGUCGACUGUGAUUCAUAAGUAUCAGAAAAAUAUGAGUUGUUGCUAUUUAAUGUUCGUUCGUUUUCAGAUAUAUACUUAUAGUACUUUUUUCUAUUUCCAGUUCCUUUGUGAGCUGUCAGACAUUAGUAUUAGCAGGUCCAACAACCGUUUCUAGCUUGGGUUUUUUUUUCAAAAGAAAAAAAUAAUAAUGAAAAAGAACCUAAAAAGAGAAGAUUGGAUCUUCAGGUGUCAUUUGACAACUUCUGAUUGGUUUAUUCUUCAAAGAAGAAAUAAAUUUUAAUUCCAAAACUCCACAUGAUUAAAUUAUUAUUUUUGACAUUAGAACCUGUUUUAAAAUAGGAAAAUUUAGAAGAUAGGACAACUUUCAAGUUUGAAUUAGAAAUUUGGGCAAGCCCAUGUUUUAAUUAGGUUGUUGGGCAAUCUAGUAUGAGAGAGAAGAAAAAGUGGACAGUUUUAACCUUUUUGCCCAACAAUUUUGAGCUGAAAUUCGUGGGACCAAGCUGUCUUUUGCCCAGAAAAAUUUGCCUCUGGAAAACCGACACACGCGCGCCGGAUGUGCGUGUAAGAGACGAUUUUAAUAUUAUGUUAUUUUAAUUUCAGAAGGAAACAUGGUAUUGGGCUUCGUUUUUGGGCUAUUUGACCCCAAAACUUGAAAGCCUUAUAUGUGAUGAUUUCUCGCGAGAAACAACGGCUCCAAGGUGGACGAAUGGCCAUUAAUGACUGGUGACUUUGGAAAACAUGUGUUUUACUUUAAUUUAUUAAUUAAAAACAGGGCAAAUAUUAAUUAUUUAAUACAAAAACGUACGAACCCUAUCUCUUUGUCUGUCUCCUUGUUGAUGAGUAAAAAAGGCUACCGAACUCGGGAACUUGAGGCAGCGAAUUUUACACACAGAGGCAUGAGCUGCAUCCGAUAUGGUGAGGGAGGAAAGGGUAUGGCGGAUGGUGGGUGUUCUGUAUCUAGCAUCGAAGGUAAAUCAUAUAUAAGCCGUACACCAUUGCAUUUAUGACAUUAUAGUUAUGGCUGAAAUCAUUUAUUACAGAUUUGAGGGUGUGAUGCUGCGUUAGGGGAAGGCGAAGAUGACGACGAUGAGGAUUAUGAUUACAAUUUAUGGCAUGAUUUUGUUGGACGAAAUUGCGAAUGGGACGAUGAUAAGGAUGAGGAUGGAGGGGUAGGUGGUGGUGGUCGAACGAACGUAACAUAUGGAGGUGUACGUGGUGAGGUGGUGACUAAAACGAGGAGUGGACGAACUAAUCCUUCUUCAAACAAAGGCAGUGGUUCAUCUACAAACAAACAGCGUACCGCAAACCCACCAUCAACUUUUGAAGAUUACGUAGAUGAGGGUAGAGAUUACAUAGGCUCAUCUAGGAUUUCGAUGGAGAAUAUUGAAGAAGCAAGUAACAAUUUAGGUGUCAAGUCAAGUGAUCAAGUGGCCGACACUGAGAAUCAUUCAGAUCCAAAUCAAGAAGAGGACCCAAGUUUGGACAACAGCUCCCAAAUGUUGGUUCUCCAGACUCCUCCAAAGCCGUUCAACAUGCAUACUCGGGAAGUUGACGACAGUGAUGAUUUCGUUGGGCAGGUCCCUCAAUGCGUUUCGUCUAGACCGACACAUGAUACAUCUGAUGGAGAAGACGAGGAUGACGACUUUGUCGAACCGGUACCUCAGUGUGUUUCGGGUGGUCAGACACAUGAAACCCUGGUUGGAGAAGACGAGGAUGACGACUUUAUCGAACCGGUACCUCAGUCUCGAAGCCGUGAGGAAGACGCAAGAAGACGUCGUGAAAAGGAUAAGGCUGAUGACGAAUCACUCAUGAAAUCCGUUAGAGCCGUUGAGCUAUAUGGAUUUGAGGAUGUAGAAGCUUCGUCUAACAACGAAGCAGUUAACGAUUAUACCGUCGAUGAUAUUGACUUCACUCUAGCAGAUGCUGAUAUGUACACUGGGAAGCUAUUCAGUAGCAAGCAAGAAUUCAAGAUCAGUUUGCACAUUUAUGCCUUAAAGCAGGUGUUCAGGUUCAAGUUCCACAAACAUGCGUUUAACUACGUCGCAGCGAAAUGCAUUGAUAAAAACUGCAAAUUUUAUGUUAUGGCUAAGCAAUUGGGGGAAUCUUCGACAUAUCAGGUGAGGAAGGCGCAACUGAAGCAUGUCUGCACAUCUGAUGCUAAAGCGCAAUAUAAGAAACAUGCGACGUCGAAAGUAAUAGCUGCACUAAUGAGAUCGAAGUAUGAAAGGCUCCAAGCUGGACCGCGCGCAUCUGAAUUACCCGAGAUGCUCCGGAGUGAGUUCUUGUUUACGGCCACAUAUUGGAAAUGUUGGAAAGCAAAAGAGUUAGCAACUGUGGCUGCACAAGGAACAGAAGAGAGCUCUUACAAGCUCCUGCCGAAAUAUUUUUAUGUUGUAAAGUAUGCAAAUCCUGGGUCCAUUACUAAUAUCAAAACUGAAAAAGAUGAUAAGGGUCAGACAAGGUUUAAGUACGCGUUCAUGGCGCUGAAAGCUUGCAUUGACGGGUGGAAGCAUCUACGGAAGGUUAUUGUGGUGGAUGGUACUCAUAUGUUUGGGAAGUACAAAGGGUGUUUACUAACUGCAAGUGGGCAAGAUGCCAAUUUUCAGGUAUUCCCUAUAGCGUUUGCUGUUGUAGACAAUGAAACAAACGAGUCUUGGAGUUGGUUUUUUGAGAAGCUGACAGAGAUCGUAGAAGAUGGCUCCGAUUUAUCUAUUGUGUCUGAUAGAGCAAAUCAAAUAUGUGUUGCUAAAGAUAAGUGGUAUCCUCUUUCACACCAUGGGUGCUGCCUCGUACACCUACAGAGAAACGUCGACGCAAAAUUCAAGAAAAGGAAUCAGAAGCAAAUGGUUGGCAGGGCAGCCGAGGUAUUCAAGGUAUCCCACUUUAAGAGACUUUACGCGGAGAUCAAACUUACAGAUAAGCGCUGUUGGGAUUAUCUUGAGAAGAUCGAUCCUAGACAUUGGACAAGGUCACACUUUGAGGGCGAGCGGUACAAUCUAAUGAGCUCGAAUAUAGCUGAGUCUCUCAACAAAGCACUAGUUCCUGCGCGCGAUUCCCCGAUAAUGGCGCUAUUUGAGUUCAUCAGACGCAUGAUUAGUCGUUGGUUUGUGAGUAGACAGCGAAAGAUAUCGAAAAUGAGUGGUGAGAUCCCCCCGGCUGUUGACGAGUUGAUGGAGAACAAUCUAGAAGACGCAAGAGCGUACGCUGUGAUGCCUCUGUCUGCUUUUGAAUUUGAGGUAACUCUAAAAACAACCGGCUUCGGGAGUUCUGUUAAUUUGGAAACCAGGUCUUGCACAUGUCUUGAAUUCCAGAAAGUUGGAAUACCAUGUCGACAUGCCAUUGCUGCGGCUAUGUUUCGGGACUUGCAGCACUCAGAGUUCGUUGCAGACGCCUAUCUAAAAAAGACAUGGAAUGAAACAACAAAGGGUGUUACACUCCCGGUUCCAGAUCCGCAAGAUCUUUUCAUACCUUCGGAGGUUAGUGACCUUAUCAUGUUACCACCAAAGACGAAGAGACCACCAGGACGUCCACCGACCAAGCGUAAACGUUCUGCAGGAGAAAUACCGGUACGACCUAAUCUCAUCUGACUGUAGUCAUGGAUAUUUUCUGAAUAAAGGCUGUUAUGUUUUUUUCAGGAGGGGCCGAAGAAGAAGAAACUAAACACAUGUAGUCGAUGUCAUAUCUCAGGUCACAACAAAAAGUCUUGUAAAGAACCGCUACAAUGAUGGCUUAUGGAUGGAGGAGAUUUUAUGUAUUGUUGACAAGAGAGUUCUUGUUUUUUGGAAAUUUAAUAUGGUUUACAACACAUCUAUAAUGCUAUUUUGCGAUAUGUUUUACGCAGAGCUUCUUCUUGAAUUUAUUAGAUAUGUAUGGUUUUAUUGUCAUUCCUUAAUAUGGUUUACAACUUGUUUACAACUUGAGGUAAACAUAGUUGAAGAUUUGAUGACUUUUGAUUUGAUGUAACUUGUUUACAACUUGAGGUGUACGAUAUCUGUGUAGCCAAUCUAGCCGUUAGAAAGACAUUUAAAUACAAUGUAGCCGUUGUAUUGUAAUCCAAUAAUAAUAUAGCCGUUACAAUCUCAAUCUAUUUAAGUAUGAGUGCUUGUGUCGUCUAUAUUUCAGAUUUUUUGUGAUUCUCUCUUUACUCUCAAUUUUAUACUAAAGAUGGGACUUGAUUAUAGCUAUAGCCAGCCUUCGGAAUCAGAGGACUAUGAUGGGCAUGACUCCAGCGACACAGAAGACCGUGAAGUUGAAGAUCUUAUUUGUCGGGACCAAUCUGAUCUAAAUUACAAUUAUGCUUCGACGGUUCAGUACCCUCCGCAACCCGAGGUCGAAUUUGGAUUCCCGCAGACAUGCUACUGUGGUGGUCGGCCUAAGCUAGCAACAUCUCGCACUGUAAAUGAUCCAGGUAGAAGAUACUACACGUGUGAUAAUGUUAAUGAUGGAGACUGUCAUGUUCAUAAAUGGUGGGAUGAUGCGGUUAUGGGGGAGAUGAGAGCCAGGGAUACGCACACACUUCAAUUGUCUGAAAAGGUAGAAUAUCUAACCUUUUUGAAUGACUAAGACCCACAACUUAACAAGUUGAAGGAACUCCAGAAUGAGACUGAGCAGAAACUGGUUAGGCUAGAGAAGGUAGUGUCUGAGUUAGCUGAAAAGAGAACAAGGUUAACCAAUGGCUUCAAAUACUUUGUUGGUGGAAUGGUUAUUAUAUUAGUUUUACUUGGGUUUGUGAUCAUAUUCAAGUAACUCUUUAUUUUGUAAUGUAAUAAAUCGGAUGAGUAAUGAACUCUUGAUGUGGUUUUUUGUAAUGUGUCAUUUUUUAUGAUUCUACUAAAAUUCUAUGAACCAAGAGCUCUUACAAGCUCCUGCCGAAAUAUUUUUAUGUUGUAAAGUAUGCAAAUCCUGGGUCCAUUACUGAUAUCAAAACUGAAAAAGAUGAUAAGGGUCAGACAAGGUUUAAGUACGCGUUCAUGGCGCUGAAAGCUUGCAUUGACGGGUGGAAGCAUCUACGGAAGGUUAUUGUGGUGGAUGGUACUCAUAUGUUUGGGAAGUACAAAGGGUGUUUACUAACUGCAAGUGGGCAAGAUGCCAAUUAUCAGGUAUUCCCUAUAGCGUUUGCUGUUGUAGACAAUGAAACAAAUGAGUCUUGGAGUUGGUUUUUUGAGAAGCUGAAAGAGAUCGUAGAAGAUGGCUCCGAUUUAGCUAUCGUGUCUGAUAGAGCAAGUCAAAUAUGUGUUGCUAAAGAUAAGUGGUAUCCUCUUUCACACCAUGGGUGCUGCCUCGUACACCUACAGAGAAACGUCGACGCAAAAUUCAAGAAAAGGAAUCAGAAGCAAAUGGUUGGCAGGGCAGCAGAGGUAUUCAAGGUAACUCACUUUAAGAGACUUUACGCGGAGAUCAAACUUACAGAUAAGCGCUGUUGGGAUUAUCUUGAGAAGAUCGAUUCUAGGCAUUGGACAAGGUCACACUUUGAGGGCGAGCGGUACAAUCUAAUGAGCUCGAAUAUAGCUGAGUCUCUCAACAAAGCACUAGUUCCUGCGCGCGAUUCCCCGAUAAUGGCGUGAUUUGAGUUCAUCAGACGCAUGAUUAGUCGUUGGUUUGUGAGUAGACAGCGAAAGAUAUCAAAAAUGAGUGGUGAGAUCCCCCCGGCUGUUGACGAGUUGAUGGAGGACAAUCUAGAAGACGCAAGAGCGUACGCUGUGAUGCCUCUGUCUGCUUUUGAAUUUGAGGUAACUCUAAAAACAACCGGCUUCGGGAGUUCUGUUAAUUUGGAAACCAGGUCUUGCACAUGUCUUGAAUUCCAGAAGGUUUGAAUACCAUGUCGACAUGCCAUUGCUGCGGCUAUGUUUCGGGACUUGAAGCACUCAGAGUUCGUUGCAGACGCCUAUCUAAAAAAGACAUGGAAUGAAACAACAAAGGGUGUUACACUCCCGGUUCCAGAUCCGCAAGAUAUUUUCAUACAUUCGGAGGUUAGUGACCAUAUCAUGUUACCACCAAAGACGAAGAGACCACCAGGACGUCCACCGACCAAGCGUAAACGUUCUGCAGGAGAAAUACCGGUACGACCUAAUCUCAUCUGACUGUAGUCAUGGAUAUUUUCUGAAUAAAGGCUGUUAUGUUUUUUUCAGGAGGGGCCGAAGAAGAAAAAACUAAACACAUGUAGUCGAUGUCAUAUCUCAGGUCACAACAAAAAGUCUUGUAAAGAACCGCUACAAUGACGGGUUAUGGAUGGAGGAGAUUUUAUGUAUUGUUGACAAGGGAGUUAUUGUUUAGGUGUUUCCUAAUAACACAUCUAUAAUGCUAUUUUGCGAACUGAUGAGAUAUGGAUUACGCAGUGCUUCUUCUUGAAUUUAUUAGAUAUGUAUGGUUUUAUUGUCAUUCCUAAAUAUGGUGUUCAUGUUUAUGAUUUGAUGUAACUUGUUUAUAACUUGAGGUGUACGAUAUCUGUGUAGCCAAUCUAGCCGUUAGAAAGACAUUUAAAUACAAUGUAGCCGUUGUAUUGUGGUCCAAUAAUAAUAUAGCCGUUACAAUCUCAAUCUAUUUAAGUAUGACUGCUUGUGUCGUCUAUAUUUCAGAUUUUUANNNNNNNNNNNNNNNNNNNNNNNNNNNNNNNNNNNNNNNNNNNNNNNNNNCGUUUUUCCGUUGAAACUGUAACUGACAAGCCCUCCCGACGGUCUGGAAACUGAUGAGUUCGCCACAGUCGAGGCCCUGUUCGAGGAGGCGGAGGAAGUCGAGGAGGGGUUAAAGGAAACACCUCCAUCCACCCCUCGCAAACGGCGCUGCACAAGCCCCGACCCCCGCAGUAGCAAACGUGCUCGCAAGGCGGAGAAAAAAGGUGACCCGGAGGAUGAGGGUUACGGAUAUGACGGCGAAGGAGCGUCGGGGUUUAAGGACGAUGAAGAAGGUGAAUACUGGGAGUGGAUGCAGAUGGAGACGGACGUGGAUGACGACGCGUCCGACAGGACCGGCGACACGUUGGGUUCUGGGCAGUUCAGGAUGGACAACUACCCAGACAGCUCCGGCACCGACUCCAGCACCUCCGACUCCGACUAGGAACCUCCUCCUCUUUUAAUAUUAUUAUAUAUUUUGAAUUUUAGUGUUUUUUUGUAAUUAUUUUGAACUCUCUUUUUUUCGAACUCUUUAUUAUAUUUUAUUUAUAAUAUAGUUUAUGAUUUCUGUUUAUUAUUGCUGUCUUUUAUUGCAUGUUUAAUAUUGGUAAAAUUAGGAUACGAAUACUUAAGGUCUACGAAUACUGAAGGUAUUCGAAUACCUUCAGUAUUCGAAUACUGACGGUAUACGAAUACUUAAGGUCUACGAAUAAUUCCAUUAAUGGGCUUAAUGACCAUGGGUUAACCAAGAACAAACCCAAAUGGUCUGACCUUUAGAUGGGUCCAAAAUUUAAAGUUGUGAAAUUGGACUGAAACCUAUUAAGUCCAAAUCAGAUGGGCUAAAACCAUUUGUGAAAUGUUAUGGUUCUAUUUUGGGUUUGGACAAUUUGGACUACGUACAAUUUGGACAUACCCAUUGGACAUGGACAGCCCAUUAUAUUUUAUAAUAUAGUAUAUGAUUUCUGUUUAAUGUAUGAACUUAAGGUAUUCUCAUCUCUCUCUUCGUUGGUGUACGAACACGCGUACACUUAUGGUUUUAACACGAAAAUAAAUUUAAGUAAACUCUUUCUGCGACAAUAAAGUUUCCUACUUUAUUUCGUAUGGUCAAAUCAGUCGGAGAUUAAAUUCUACGGAGGAGUCGCAACGAUUUAAUUCGCAUGGUUUAAACCGAAGAGUAGUAAUGGAACGCCGCGUCUGUUACCAAAAAAUUAAUUAAUUAUUUUCGUAAUAUAUAUACUACUCAGUUGACAUUUAAUAUUUUUUCAUCUUUCUAAACAUAUUCUCUGCAAACCUCUUUCUCUGCAAACCUCUUUCAUUCCAAAAAUGGUUUAUGAUAUCAGCCAGGGCAAAAUGACCGUCGCAAAAUACAAGCGAUUCUUUUACAGUUUGCCUAUAGUCGGCGAACGCACCGAGCAGCAGUUGAUCGAGUUGGCCAAGGCCGGAUUGAAGGAAGAGAUCCGCUACGGUCUGGAAACUAAUGAGUUCGCCACAGUCGAGGCCCUGUUCGAGGAGGCGGAGGAAGUGGAGGAGGGAUUAAAGGAAACACCCCCAUCCACCCCUCGCAAACGGCGCCGCACAAGCCCCGAUCCCCGCAGUAGCAAACGUGCUCGCAAGGCGGAGAAAAAAGGUGACCCGGAGGAUGAGGGUUACGGAUAUGACGGCGAAGGAGCGUUGGGGUUUAAGGACGAUGAAGAAGGUGAAUACUGGGAGUGGAUGCAGAUGGAGACGGACGUGGAUGACGACGCGUCCGACAGGACCGACGACACGUUGGGUUCUGGGCAGUUCAGGAUGGACAACUACCCAGACAGCUCCGGCACCGACUCCAGCACCUCCGACUCCGACUAGGAACCUCCUCCUCUUUUAAUAUUAUUAAAUAUUUUGAAUUUUAGUGUUUUUUUGUAAUUAUUUUGAACUCUUUUUUUUCGAACUCUUUAUUAUAUUUUAUAAUAUAGUUUAUGAUUUCUGUUUAUUAUUGCUGUCUUUUAUUGCAUGUUUAAUAUUGGUAAAAUUAGGAUACGAAUACUUAAGGUCUACGAAUACUGAAGGUAUUCGAAUACCUUCAGUAUUCGAAUACUGACGGUAUACGAAUACUUAAGGUCUACGAAUAAUUCCAUUAAUGGGCUUAAUGACCAUGGGUUAACCAAGACCAACCCCAAAUGGUCUGACCUUUAGAUGGGUCCAAAAUUUAAAGUUGUGAAAUUGGACUGAAACCUAUUAAGUCCAAAUCAGAUGGGCUAAAACCAUUUGUGAAAUGUUAUGGUUCUAUUUUGGGUUUGGACAAUUUGGACUACGUACAAUUUGGACAUACCCAUUGGACAUGGACAGCCCAUUAUAUUUUAUAAUAUAGUAUAUGAUUUCUGUUUAUUAAAGCUGUCUUUUUAUGCAUGUUUAAUAUUGGUAAAAUUAAGAUACGAAUACUGACGGUAUACGAAUACUUAAGGUCUACGAAUACUGAAGGUAUUCGAAUACUGACGGUAACUUUCUGUUGCCAGCACUGACACAUUUGAGAUGAAACUCCCGGAACUGACAACCUUGGCGUAUUUGACAUGUGACGAACCCGUCCUCCAUUUCACUAACAUCGCACUUCUUCAAGACUGAGGGCUCGUGUGCGAGGGCGUAACCGCGUUUUCCAGCCCGCAGAAAAGGGCCAAGAUUGUAAAAUGAUUCCUCUCCGACAAGCUCAAUGAUUUUGCACACAAUUUCCUGGGGAAGAUUUGGGAGUACGUGAGCUUCCAUACUAUUGGGGUUACUUGUUGGAGUUUUUUUGUGGUCUGUUUUAUGGUUGGUAUGAGAGGGAUUAUAGAAAUUUAAUAGACAGGUUUGUAGAGAAAACGUGUGAGGUUAAUACGAGAAUUUAUUGUCCCACCUACAUUUGAAACCUAACACUGUCAAAUCAUGGUUUAAAGGGUUAAUAAAAAAUUCAUUAUUUCGUUUGUCUCGGUAUAGGUUCAAUGCGUCUCUUCAAUAUAAUGACUUAUACGGGCGUGACCAUCGUAAAUAGACAACCCUUCGCUUGCCGCCGUCCACUCACUAUAAAAACUGAAUUUUGGACAUCAUUAGCACAACGCUGAAAACACAAUCUGGCUAUAAUGGCAGAGAUGACUUUUCUAGAUCUCCCUUCCGAAAUCCAACAAUUGAUUGUCUCCUGCGUCGCAAAAAAUUCCUUUCAAGAUCUGUAUAGACUCAGAUCUACUUGUAAGUCAAUGCGUGCGCUGGCAGACACGUCUGACGUCUAUUCUUCGUUUGAUCUGUAUAAAUACCCUUGGUGGACAGGCUUGCGUAAUACGUUGUUGAAAAGAUGCUACAAUGUCGGAAACCCAAGUACUCUUUACAUCAAGGGUGUUGAGUAUUUCUACGCCCUACAACGCCACGAAGAAAGUCUUGCUUUGAUGAAGAGAGCAGCGGAUGCUAGAUACGAACGAGGGUUGUAUACCUAUGCAAUGACUCGCAAACUCUACUCGGAUGAUGAGGAAUACUUCGCUAGGUUUACGAGAGAAGCAGUUGGUACAAUUGGAUGGCUUGUUAGAAUGGAUGAUGUUCCGUGGGUGCCGGUCGUUAACGAGUGGUUCUUAACAAAGAAGUUCAUGUUCAUGUCAACAGAUCGACCUUUGUUUUAUAAUUGCCCCUGUUCACCUACGUUGAAUUUCGAUUGGGAUCUGUGGCACAUGGAAUUAAGCAAGACAGAAGACAUGUGUAACCGAUGCUUCUGGAUAAAAGAGGUUGGUCUUUUCCUCCGGGAUUUUCGUUGCGCCACGAGUUUUGCGCCCUUCGACAGUUGGCAGUAAUUAUUAUUUGUUGUAAUGCAUUUACCACAUUAAGCAUUGUUCUAAUUCCGUUGUCGAGUAUAACAUUAGCUGUUAUUUUGGAAAGUGACGUAUACCAUCAAAACUAGGAGACAAACUCCAACAUCGGUUUAUCGUUUCUUUACUCAUACAGUUAUCAUGAAAACAUAAGACUCGGUGUACAAAAACUGACGGUAUUCAAAAAAUGACGGUAUUCGAAUACUGACGGUAUUCGAAUACUGACGGUAUACGAAUACUGACAGUAUACGAAUACUUAAGGUAUACGGAUAUUUACAGUAUACGAGAGCCCAAAAUUUAAAGUUGUCCAAUUGGACUGAAACCUAUUAAGUCCUAAACCCUAAACCCUAUACCCUAAACCCUAAACCCUAAAUAUAUAAGAAAGACGAUGUAAAACCAUCAAAGAUAAACUGAUCUGUUUGAAUUAUAGUGUCUGGAUGAAUGGAAAGAUACAAUAACCGUUUAACAAUUCGGUUUAACAAACGAAAU